Amphiprion ocellaris (clown anemonefish) is the source of this 3025-nucleotide long non-coding RNA. NCBI's taxonomy places the organism in Eukaryota, Metazoa, Chordata, Actinopteri, Pomacentridae. The record is from Ensembl.
GGUAUAAAACAGGUGUCAAAGGGAAAUCUGACCUUUGUGCCUCUUAAGUUCAAUGCCACCUUUCACCUCGUUUGCCUUUGUUGGAUUUUGUGGAAAUGAAAGUGUAAAAUUACAACCGGUGGUGUAAGGGAGGGAGGUGGGGGUUAGGGUUAGCAGUGGCUGCAGCCAGAAAUUAACAAGAAUCUAAAGAAAAACGUUUUCCAAAACCUUGAGCUAUUCCUUUAAUUUUGACUUAAUUAUAACUGCAAAAGGACUGAAAUGUGAACACUCAAAAGCACCAUUGUGUGAACAGCUUGGAAGUACAUGAAACCUGCCAGUUUAACAGCUAUGUAAUUUGCCUUUCAACACUCUGACCAACUGGCAAAAUGAAUAUAUAUGUUGCCCUAAUCCUCAUGUUUUUUUGUUUUGUUUUGUUUUUUUACACCUCUGUAUCCCUCUCUUUCUCUAAUUUUCUGUUAUCUCCUUCCUUCUUUGCUUUAAUUGCCCCUCAGCCUCCAUUCACUUCCACUGAUCAUACACCCAGGGGUACUGUGCAGCUGACAAAAUAGAAAACAAUGCUCGUCAUGGUGGGAGUGCCAUUGGCUGGUCUCUCUCUGUGCCUCGCAGCCCAUCAAAGCUAAUGAAAAAUAAUUCUGAUGAAGUCUUUUUUUUCACCACAGUCAUCAGUGAACACACACUUAGCUCUGGGUAUGAUUAGACUUCUCUUCAUUCUCUUCCCUUCUUACUCUCUGUGUGUCAGUAAACUGCGUGUCAGUGUGCAUGAGUGAAACAGUCCAAAUGUGUAUGUGGUAAUGGCUAAUGGACGGUAUGACUUUGGGUCCUGGGUGGGUUGUUCAAAGCACUGGGACAGUUAGCUAGGGUAAACUUCUCCUCUGCGUACACAGUAGCUGAUUUCAAGGGUAGCAGAUGGAUGCCUAAUGCUUCAUCUGAAUGCUUGAUGACAUUUUAAUUAAUUUUGAUCAGAUUUUUAAGACAUCUUUAUGGCAUCAUCUCAAAGACUGCUUGCUUUACUUUGAUGGUUUAUCAGUGAACUGUCAAAAAAGCCUAUAAAGGUGCAAGUAUCAGUGGGCCUUUUUUUGCCUCUUCAACAAACCUGCUGAUCUGUAGGUCUUAGAAAACUGUAUGUAAAUAAUAAAGAAGCACUGGCAUUUACAUUAAAGUCUUUAAUAUAUAGCAAUGAUUGAUAAUCACCUUAAAGUUUUGUGGUGAUUCUGAAAUGACGUGAGGUAGUGAGUCAAAAUUCCAAUUUGAAAUCUUACGAGUCCAGGUUUGUUCAUUUUGUCCUCAGAGAGAUAUUUCUGACUAUCUGAAAAUCUAAUCUAAAAAAAAUAUCCCAGGGCUUAAUGUGGUUACAGCCGCUGCCAAUAACACACAUUAGGCUCCCUGUAAAACCAGAACAUGCAAGACUGUAACGGCAAAAUCCUCUGCAAGGCUUUGUUUUGUUGCCCAUGAAUUUAACAUUUCUUUUCAAGAGGAAAAAAAUCUUACUUAUUCUUUCACAAGUUACAAAGCUUCAUUUGAAGUACAUAACAAAAACAAGGUCAGAAUGUCAAGGCUUUAGUUUUCAGCAUAGGAAGUAAUCAGUAAUCAGCUACUCCGUAGUGGCUGCUUGAUAUAUUCCCUCUGUAGCUUUUUAAAUCAGUGUUGUAAAGACUGAAGAAGAAGCAGCAGUCAACAUAUUGCCAUUUUAUUGUUUCCAGCUGCAGCAUGAAAGAAUUAAAAGAAGGAUAUGAAAGGAGAUCUGAUUGCCUUUUGAUGAUGGAUGAAACAUUCAGUAAUGAAGAAUUUCAUUUAGCCAGUAAACUUCUUGACUAGAUACACAUACUGAGAUUUAUAGGAUGUUAUAUGGACAUUUUGGAGAACCCUUGUGUUUGUGUGGUGGAAGUCUCCCCUAUGAAUUUGGUAUAUAUAUAUAUAUAUAUAUAUAUAUAUAUAUAUGUAUAUAUAUAUAUAUAUAUAUAUAUAUAUAUAUAUAUAUAUAUAUAUGUAUAUAUAUAUAUAUAUAUAUAUAUAUAUAUAUAUAUAUAUAUAUAUAUAUAUCACAAACUUUCAAAAUGUCCUAAAUAAGAUUUUUGAAUGUCGGCUUUUAAAAAUAAUCAAAAUUAAUCCAGGGAAAAUUAAAGUGCUGGCCAUUGAAGGACAGGUUGUUUUGUAUUUAUGAUCAGACCAAAAGAAGAAUCAUGAAUUUGCUGCUUAUACAACCCACUCUUUUAGCCAUCUGCCCAAGUUAUAUUGAAUUAUGUCCUUGUGUGUGUGUGUGUAUUUGUGUGAGCAUGUGUGCACAAAGACACGUGGUUAAGACCCCUACUGUUCCUCCUCCCUCCUCCCACACACAAUCUGUCAAUCCUUCCUGCUGUCUAAUACUGAAGGAAUCCACUACACAUUCACAAUACACACACACGUCCACACGCUCAUCCAAAGCAAAUAUGACCAAGGUAGAUUCUCAGAAGCCACAUGAGAGUUCACUGAUGUAACACAUUGCAACUUCCUGUCAUACAACCAUGCUGAACAGAGUGGCCGAAGUGGCCUCCUGGUGCCACUGUCACUGAAACGAGAUUGAAUGUCUUACUGUCUAUACUCCACUUCUUGGUAGCGCUCGAUUGCUCUCAUCUUCUUUCUCGACAGCCAGCAUCUGAACUCCACAACGAAAUCUCUUCAAGACUUACCACAGAGGCAUUUUCUAUGGGGCUAUUAUGUUCACAGAAUAACAUUGUGACAGAGUCAACACUUGUUUCAUCUCUCUGUACAAACUGUACAAUCUUCUGCUCCUCUCUUCCCUCCUGAGUAGCCCUGCAGGUUCUGUGCUCUUGUCUUUCUUCUUUCUCUCCCCCUCUUAUGCUCUUAUUCUUUAAUUUAUUGUGAAUUGAUUUCCAAGGUUGUUUUGCCUUUGUCGCUGAAGGUAAAGUUUUCUUUUCUGUCUUCCUUUUUGUAAAAUUGAUCCUUUUUUGUUAAGUUUAGUCACUGCUAAUGUAACAAAACGCACUGUGAUGAUUCCAGUAUUAAUAAAAGUUGUACUUAAACUGUG